This 503-nucleotide ribosomal RNA is filed under the name uncultured eukaryote. RNAcentral describes it as "bacterial SSU rRNA". It matches the Rfam family "Eukaryotic small subunit ribosomal RNA", at positions 1143 to 1658 of the family's 1831-position model. The record is from RNAcentral.
CUUAAAGGAAUUGACGGAAGGGCACCACCAGGAGUGGAAUCUGCGGCUUAAUUUGACAACGCGGGAAAACUCACCAGGUCAGGACACGGUAAGGAUUGACGGACUGAAGGCUCUUUCUCGAUUCCGUGGAAAGUGGUGCAUGGCCGUUUUUGGUUGGUGGAUCGAUCCGUCUGGUUAAUUCCGUUAACGAACGAGACCUCGGCACUCCGAAUAGCGCGGCGGACGUCGCGGCCUCCGGGCCGUCUUCCGCACGAGCUUCUUAGAGGGACCGUCCCCCGCCGGGGAAGGAGGUGCGAGGCAACGACAGGUCUGUGAUGCCCUUAGAUGUUCUGGGCCGCACGCGCAUUACACUGACGCGUCCAACGGGUGACUCCCGACCCGAAGGGGCCGGGGAAUCCGCAAGGCGCGUCGUGAUGGGGGAUUGAACGUUGCAAUUGUUGUUCACGAACGAGGAAUUCCUAGUAGGCGCGGGUCAUCAACCCGCGCCGAUUACGUCCCUGCCC